RNAcentral lists this ribosomal RNA (253 nucleotides) under uncultured bacterium. RNAcentral's name for it is "partial 16S ribosomal RNA". It matches the Rfam family "Bacterial small subunit ribosomal RNA", at positions 524 to 776 of the family's 1533-position model. The record is from RNAcentral.
GACGAACCGGCCAAACGUUAUUCGGAAUCACUGGGCUUAAAGGGUGCGUAGGCGGCGCGGAAAGUUGGGUGUGAAAUCCCUCGGCUCAACCGAGGAACUGCGCCCAAUACUACCGUGCUCGAGGGAGAUAGAGGUGAGCGGAACUUAGGGUGGAGCGGUGAAAUGCGUUGAUAUCCUAAGGAACACCGGUGGCGAAAGCGGCUCACUGGAUCUCUUCUGACGCUGAGGCACGACAGCUAGGGUAGCGAACGGG